AGGUUUCUGGGGGUCCUUAUGGGUCCUUAUGGGUCCCUAUGGGGUCUCUAUGGGUCCCUAUGGGUCUCUAUGGGGUCUCUAUGGGUCCCUAUGGGUUCCUCUUUGAGUCCCUAUAGGGUCCUUAUGGGUCCCUAUGUGCCUCUAUGGGGUCCCUAUGGGGUCUCUAUGUAUCCCUAUAGGUCCCUCUUUGAGUCCCUAUAGUUUCUGGGGGUCUCUGGGGUUCCCACGUUUCCACGUCCCACGUUUCCAUGUUCCCAUGACCCCAUAAUCCCAAAAUCCCAUGUUCCCACAUUUCCACAUUCCCACAUUUCCAUGUUCCCAUGUUCCCACGUUUCCAUGUUCCCACGUCCCCAUGUUCCCAUGUUCUGAUGUUUCCAUGUUCCCACAUUUCCACCUUCCCACAUUUCCAUGUUUCCAUGACCCCAUAUUUCCAUGUUCCCAUGUUCCCAUGUUUCCAUGACCCCAUGUUCCCACAUUUCCAUGUUCCCACAUUUCCAUGUUCCCAUGUUUCCAUGACCCCAUGUUCCCAUACUCCCAUGUUCCCAUGUUUCCAUAUUCCCACAUUUCCACGUUUCCAUGUUCCUAUGUUUCCAGAUCCCACGUUCCCAUGUUUCCAUGUUCCCACGUUUCCAUAUUCCCACGUCCCCAUGUUUCCAUGACCCCAUGUUCCCAUGUUCCCACGUUUCCAUGUUCCCACGUUCCCAUGUUCCCAUGUUCUGAUGUUCCCAUGUUCCCAUGUUUCCAUGACCCCAUGUUCUGAUGUUCCCAUGUUUCCAUGUUCCCAUGUUCCCACGUUCCCAUGUUCCCACAUUUCCAUGUUCCCAUGUUCCCACAUUUCCAUGACCCCAUGUUCCCAUGUUCCCACAUUUCCAUGUUUCCACGUUCCCAUGUUUCCAGACCCCAUGUUCCCACAUUCCCACGUUCCCAUGUUCCCUUUCCAUGUUCCCACGUUCCCACGUUUCCACGUUCCCAUGUUCCCUUUCCAUGUUCCCAUGUUCCCACAUUUCCACGUUCCCACAUUUCCAUGUUCCCAUGAUCCCAUAUUUCCACGUUCCCAUGUUCCCACAUUCCCACGUUCCCACAUUCCCAUGUUCCCAUGUUCCCAUGAUCCCAUAUUUCCACGUUCCCAUGUUCCCAUGUUCCCACGUUCCCACAUUCCCAUGUUUCCAUGUUCCCAUGAUCCCAUGUUCCCACGUUCCCACAUUUCCACGUUCCCACGUUCCCACAUUCCCAUGUUUCCAUGUUCCCAUGAUCCCAUAUUUCCACGUUCCCAUGUUCCCACAUUCCCAUGUUCCCACAUUUCCACGUUUCCACGUUCCCAUGUUUCCAGACCCCAUGUUCCCACAUUUCCAUGUUUUCAUGAUCCCAUAUUUCCANNNNNUCCCACGUUCCCACAUUUCCAUGUUCCCAUGUUCCCAUGUUCCCACAUUUCCAUGUUUCCACGUUCCCACAUUUCCAUGUUCCCACGUUCCCACAUUUCCAUGUUCCCAUGUUCCCAUGUUCCCACAUUUCCAUGUUUCCACGUUCCCAUGUUUCCAGACCCCAUGUUCCCAUGUUCCCACGUUCCCAUGUUCCCAUGUUCCCACAUUUCCAUGUUCCCUUUCUAUGUUCCCAUGUUCCCAUGUUCCCAUGUUCCCUUUCCAUGUUCCCAUGUUCCCAUGUUUCGUUGUUUCCACGUUCCCACGUUCCCAUGUUCCCACAUUUCCACGUUCCCAUGUUUCCAGACCCCAUGUUCCCACAUUUCCAUGUUCCCAUGAUCCCAUAUUUCCACGUUCCCAUGUUCCCAUGUUCCCAUGUUCCCACAUUUCCAUGUUCCCUUUCUAUGUUCCCAUGUUCCCAUGUUCCCUUUCCAUGUUCCCACGUUCCCAUGUUCCCACAUUUCCACAUUUCCACCUUCCCAUGUUUCCAGACCCCACCUUCCCACCUUCCCACAUCUCCACAUUUCCACAUCCCACCUCCCCACCCCCCCAAACCCCCCCUCACCUCGGGCUGACCACAUCCUGCGGUGCCUGGAACCACUCCUGCAAUUUACUCUCCAGCCCCACUCCCACCUUAACCAGGUAGGAGCUGGGAUCCACGCAGCAGGCCCAGUAGCUCCUGCCCUGCGUCACGGCCACGUCUCCGAUCACCACCUCGACGGAGAGGUGGCAGCUGCUCAGCAGCCUUUCGGCAGCGAAAAGCAUCGGGACCCCCGGCACGCUGCGCACCGCGCGCUGGUCCUUACUGAUGGCCAGCCGGUCCCGAUUGAAACCCCAGCGGUUGUCCAGGAAGAAAUUGAGGACUGCAAUGAGGAGGGGGGGGGAAGGGGGUGGUGAGAGAUGUGAUGUGGGAAUGGGGGAUGGGGGGAGCUGAGCCCCUUUGAUGUGACCUGGUACCCAUCUGUAGGGUGGCAUCCUGCAUAUAGAAGUAGGGGAGGGGUCCUAAGGAGCACAGGGAUGCUCAGAGGAUGGAGGAGGAGGAGGAGGAAGGAGGAGGACAGUGAUGUGGGAAUGGGGGUAGGGGGAGCUGAGCCCCCUUUUGCCCAUUUGUAGGGUGGCAUCCUGCAUAUGGAGGUAGGGGAGGGGUCCUAAGGGGUGCAGGGAUGCUCAGAGGAUGGAGGAGGAGGAGGAGGAGGAGGAGGAGGAGGAGGAGGAAGGAGGAGCUGUGCUUUGGGUCGUGCUUUUGGGCAUCUGCUGGUCCUUACUGAUGGCCAGCCCCCUAAACCCUCCCAAUCCCCCCCAGCCCCCCCCCAAAGCCCUCCCUAAACCCCCCCAAAGUC
Molecule: long non-coding RNA, 2758 nt
Filed under: Phasianus colchicus (ring-necked pheasant)
Lineage: Eukaryota; Metazoa; Chordata; Aves; Galliformes; Phasianidae
Description: lncRNA (ENSPCLG00000013843.1)
Source: RNAcentral